Pelobates cultripes (western spadefoot toad) is the source of this 354-nucleotide non-coding RNA. NCBI's taxonomy places the organism in Eukaryota, Metazoa, Chordata, Amphibia, Anura, Pelobatidae. The record is from the annotation of a GenBank genome assembly.
UGCACCCCUUGCACACAGAAAAACACACAAUGCAUUACUCACACAGACACACAUACACAAGCAAUGCAACCGUUACACACAAUGCAUCCCUUACACACACAGAAACACACAAUGCAUUCAUUACACACACUCAAUGCACCCCUUAAACACAUUCAAUGCAUCCCAUACAUACACAGAAACACACCUUGUAGCCCUUACACAUACAAACACAAUGCAUUCCUUACACACAUAUCAGGACAUCCCUUACACACUCCACCCCCUGUGAACAAACUCAUUGGUGGAACAUGAAGGUGGACCCUGGGACCCAGACCUUGAGCUGUGUAAAGGACCCCCAAAAAAUGGAGCUGCUUCCCG